CAAGUCGAGCGAGAAAUCCCCGCAAGGGGAUGAGUACAGCGGCGAACGGGUGAGUAACACGUGGGCAACCUGCCCUUCAGUUAGGAAUAACCCCGCGAAAGCGGGGCUAAUACCAGAUGACGUCCCUUGGGGGCAUCUUCAGGGGACCAAAGGGGGCGAGCGAAAGCGGCUCUCGCUGAGGGAUGGGCCUGCGGCUGAUUAGCUAGUUGGUGGGGUCACGGCCUACCAAGGCGACGAUCAGUAGCCGACCUGAGAGGGUGACCGGCCACACUGGGACUGAGACACGGCCCAGACUCCUACGGGAGGCAGCAGUGGGGAAUAUUGCGCAAUGGGCGAAAGCCUGACGCAGCGACGCCGCGUGGGUGAUGAAGGCCUUCGGGUCGUAAAACCCUGUCGGGUGGAACGAAUCCCCAUCUUGCUAAUACCAAGAUGGAUUGACGGUACCACCGAAGGAAGCCCCGGCUAACUACGUGCCAGCAGCCGCGGU
Molecule: ribosomal RNA, 487 nt
Filed under: uncultured bacterium
Lineage: Bacteria
Description: bacterial SSU rRNA
Rfam family: Bacterial small subunit ribosomal RNA
Source: RNAcentral